UACAAGUGCAACUAUAAGUUUCCGCGCCCAACUUUAAUCGUUCGUCUUAUUUAAAUUUUUUAUAAUUAGUAUUUUUAUUGUUAUGAGAUGAUAAAACAUGAAUAGUAUUUUACUCGUGACUUAUGUUUUUAAAUUUUUUUUAAAAUUUUUCAAAUAAGACGGACGGUCAAAAUUGGACGCGGAAAACCAUGGCUACACUUAUA
This 203-nucleotide microRNA precursor is filed under the name Oryza sativa Indica Group (long-grained rice). RNAcentral's name for it is "MIR812 microRNA precursor family". It matches the Rfam family "MIR812 microRNA precursor family". The record is from Rfam by way of RNAcentral. Lineage: Eukaryota; Viridiplantae; Streptophyta; Magnoliopsida; Poales; Poaceae.